GGAACAAUAAAGCAGAACUGCAGACAGGGUGUUGGGCUUGAGAUUCUCUGAGACUGUUCGGCACCAGCAUCCCUGAAGGGAAUGUACCUAAGAGUAAACUUACUGGGUCAUAUGGCGACUCCGUUUGCCUGCAGAAGAAUGGGACUGUGAUUCCUAGAGAAUGCCUCCAAGACUUGCAGCCUGGGUGACCGCUUCAGUGUCUGUGGAGCCCUCAUGGUCAAGACGCCAUUGUGGAAGUUGUAGCAGGAUGGACCUUAAGUAUCCCCAUUGUCCCAGCCUCCUGAUGUUUACUUCUUUGUCAUAUCUCCUCCCUCUGACCUGGGUGGGGACUGUAACUUGCUUCUGACCAAUUGAAUAUGAAUGGGACGUCACUUUGUUGAUUAUGUUACAUUACAUAGGGCUCUGGUAGACUGGAGACUCUCCUUGUGCCUUGAUGAAGUACACAGCUAUGCUGGAGAAAUCCAUGUGGCAAGGAACUGCAGGUGGCCCCUGGAACCUGAGGACAGUCAGUGAAGAGCUGAGGCUCCAGUUAUGUAGCUGCAAAGAGAUGAAUUCUGUCAACAACUGGGAUGAACUUGGAAGUGGAUUUUUCCCUAGUUGAACCUUUGAUGAGAAUGUGGCCCAGCUAAUGCCUUGAUUGCAGCCUUUGAAACUGAGCAGAGGACCAGCUAAUUCGUGCCCAGACUUCUGACCCACGAAGACUGAGAUAAUAAUAUGUGGUGUUUGUGUAGCUAAGUUUGUGGCAAUUUGUUAUGCAACAUUAAGAACAGUCGAGAAUUUGGUUCCAUUAUAUAAUCUGGGCUGGAUGCCACUGAGUU
Molecule: long non-coding RNA, 818 nt
Filed under: Homo sapiens (human)
Lineage: Eukaryota; Metazoa; Chordata; Mammalia; Primates; Hominidae
Description: non-protein coding lnc-RASGRP1-5:1
Source: RNAcentral